UUAUAAGAGACAGCAGCAGCCACGGUAAUACGGAGGGUGCAAGCGUUAAUCGGAAUUACUGGGCGUAAAGCGCACGCAGGCGGUCUGUCAAGUCAGAUGUGAAAUCCCCGGGCUUAACCUGGGAACUGCAUUUGAAACUGGCAGGCUAGAGUCUUGUAGAGGGGGGUAGAAUUCCAGGUGUAGCGGUGAAAUGCGUAGAGAUCUGGAGGAAUACCGGUGGCGAAGGCGGCCCCCUGGACAAAGACUGACGCUCAGGUGCGAAAGCGUGGGGAGCAAACAGGAUUAGAUACCCGCGUAGUCCCUGUCUCUUAUAA
Molecule: ribosomal RNA, 314 nt
Filed under: uncultured bacterium
Lineage: Bacteria
Description: partial 16S ribosomal RNA
Rfam family: Bacterial small subunit ribosomal RNA
Source: RNAcentral